UGUGUAGGCGGACUUCUAAGUACCUUGUGAAAUCCCACGGCUUAACCGUGGAACUGCUGGGUAUACUGAGAGUCUUGAGCAACCUAGGGGCUACCGGAACAAAUGGUGGAGCGGUGAAAUGCGUAGAUAUCAUUUGGAACGCCAAUGGUGAAAACAGGUAGCUGGGGGUUUGCUGACGCUGAGACACGAAAGCCAGGGGAGCGAACGGGAUUAGAUACCCCGGUAGUCCUGGCCGUAAACGAUGUCCACUAGAUCGCAGUCCCUCUGACGGAAUUGCGGUCGUAGCAAAAGUGCUAAGUGGACCGCCUGGGAAGUACGGUCGCAAGGCUAAA
This 332-nucleotide ribosomal RNA is filed under the name uncultured bacterium. RNAcentral describes it as "bacterial SSU rRNA". It matches the Rfam family "Bacterial small subunit ribosomal RNA", at positions 568 to 898 of the family's 1533-position model. The record is from RNAcentral.